GCGAAAGUCGUGGGCGCGGUUUUUUGAGCCUUGUCAGGGGCAGAAACUUAGAAGAAACGCAGAUAACUGUGCUGCUGGAAGGACUUUAGUGGGCUAUUUAAAUAUUACAGGCGUGCCUAAUCGUACAUGACUUUGAGGAGACGACGUGCGCUACAAUCCCAGCACGUCGAAUUUGAAUAUGGACAGAAACAGAUCAGACAUUAGCCACUUCUAUUGAUCCUCAAAUAGGGGCAGAGCUGUCUGUUUUGAACGCCGCUGCCCGGUCGAUCCCAUCUGACCUACUGUUCACAAGAGGCUGAGAAGAACAAGAAGAUAAAGGGUGAGAGAUGUGGAGGAAAGAGUCUGAGGGAGGUGGAAAGGAGGAGACAGAGAUGGAAGGGGACUGAGAGGACAUUCUGUAUAUUUGGUUUGUGGUCAUGACUUGGAGCCUAAUGAGAGUUCAGAUGUGUGAAUCUUGGAAGAAUGAAACAUUUUACAGGUAUUUCCAUUACUUGAACCCCUUCACCGUGGUCAUCUCCUCUCUACAUCUCAAGACCGCCGACGUACAUGGCGAGCUAACUGGACAAACUGGUAACAGCAGAAAGCCAUCCAUUCAGAGCAGCUCUCAGCAUUUACCUCUUCAUUCUGUCGCCACUUGACAACGCAGACUCUUCAGAGGCCUGCCUGAUGCCCAUCAGCGUGAGGGACUCAAGUCUUCAUCCUUCAUCAUCACAGCACAAAGACAUCUGGACGAUUGUCAAGGACGUCACAAUCUCUGAUAGCUGACGUCUCCCAAUGGGGCAUCACAGUAAGAGGCGAAGGAAGUCACUCUUGCGUGAGCAAAUACAAUAUGGGUGUGAUGGCUGAAUAUGAUGGAGUGACCCUGAAGUCCUUGACAGUAAACCUCCAGGAGUAUAAGCGAAGACCUCUGAUGCACGGUGUGGUCUUUGUUGCCUGUCUCUGUGAGCUUUAAAAUCAAGCCCGAUACUAAAGGUCCAUUGGAUACGUCUAGAACUGUUGAAUGUGUUGUUUUUGACAUGGGCAUCAGAGCAGAUCAGUCAAGUACAUAAUGGUGAAAUUAUGAAUGUGUCAGUCACUCUCAAUACCAGCAGUUUGAGAGCCCUCUCAGUGUCAACAACACAACAACUUCAAAAACAAACCUCUCCCGCCGCACCCCUCACCGCUCUCAAUGGCUUUUAACAGUGUUCAUCGGCUGCAUUGAAACGUAAUACAUGACCCUUGUGCUUGAGUAGACAAAUACAGAUAGAUAGCAAUUACGUAAACCACAAUCAAUAAAAAAAAUUCUGCCAACUUCCCAGGCUAUUUCUGCUCUUCAGAUGUGCUCGGCGAAAAAUUAGGCUUUGUGAAAAUCAAAACGCUUUAAAUCAAACCGCGUUAUGGGCCCGCUGCAACAAAAACAAGGAGCAUAUUGGAUUUACUAAUUUCGGAUGAGGAAGGACACUAGUUCAACUUAAGUAAUACCGAAUAAAGGGCUUGAUUGAAUUUCAGUGAUGUCAUUACGGGGUCACAUUUCAAUGUGUAAUAUGAUAUAAAUUUGGUUAAGGCUGCUUCCCUCGUCUACAGGGUCUGCUCGGCUUGUGCUUUUAAGCCGCACGGUUCUCUCAGCACACUUGAUGAUGGAUAGCUACAGGUCUGCCCAUUGCGUUAGUGCUCAUUAAAGUUCAUCCUGAUGCCAUUGUCAUGAUGGCAGGAACGCU
This 1697-nucleotide long non-coding RNA is filed under the name Danio rerio (zebrafish). RNAcentral's name for it is "lncRNA si:ch211-139o14.2 (ENSDARG00000099001.2)". The record is from RNAcentral. Lineage: Eukaryota; Metazoa; Chordata; Actinopteri; Cypriniformes; Danionidae.